UGUCGCCCUGGCUCUCCCAGAACCGGCUCCCUUCGCCCUGGCACCAGCACGGGAGGGAAAACUGCUCGCUGGGAAACAAGCCUGACUCAUCUGAGCCAGGCCCUGGCAGAUGCUGGCAGGAGCAGCCUCAUCUCACCACCCCGGGAAGGAGGGCAGCGCUGUGCUGGAACAGGAACGCCGCACGUGGGUCACAAGGGGUUUCUGGUGAGGCAGUCUGGCUGCCCCAGCCAUGCCUCACUUCUUGGAUUGGUUCGUGCCUGUGUAUCUGAUGAUCUCCAUUCUCAUCCUGGUGGGCUUUGGAGCAUGCAUUUACUACUUCGAGCCAGGACUCCAGGAAGCCCAUAAGUGGCGAACACAGAGGCCAAUCAUGGAACGGGACUUGCGGAAGACGCUGAUGAUUCGGGAUAACCUUGCCUUUGGGGUGCCUGAGGUCUAAUAUGCAGCCCACAAGGGGUGUGCUCUGGGUGCUGAAUCCAGAGGAGCCUCUCGUGGGUGGGUGGACAUCUACAGGCCUUGGUCAGGAUGACAGGUCUCCCAUGUGCAAGUGGGGCGGAUUGUCACUUUGUUCUUUGCUGAUACAGCUCUCUUACCGUUCACCUUUCUUUCCCUUCACUCCUUAGGCGAUGUUUGUGUGGCACUGCAGACUCAGGGCUUUCCACCUGCCCAUAGCCCUUUACCCAGCAAAGGACUUUUGCACCUCCCAUGGCUGGGAGUGAUGAAUCACUAAAACGAAAGGUCUGUUGUUAUUCACUGUUGAGUUUGAGCUGCCAUGCAUCUUGACCUGACCUUCACAAAGAAAGGUCUCUGCAGGGGUACUGGGCUUCCAAGAGGAUAUACAGCCUUUUACUCCUAGUUGGUGGGUUAAAUCUAACCUGGUCUGCUUAAGUCAGAGAGGUGUUUUUGGUGAAAUGAAUUCGGUGGCUUUCAGCCCAGUUCUUUGCUUCAGCUGAGCUCUUCACAACAAUCACCCUUGGCAAUGUGUUGGUAAGCUUGCUGAAGCUCUGUGCAGAGGGGCCAAGGACUGACCAAGCCCUGGAGACUGAAUGCCUUUUUCCCUGCUAAAAGUGCACUGCUUUUUUGUGUCUGUUUUGGAGAUGGAGAGUUUCAGAGUUUGGAGCUCUCAGUCUAGCAUUUUCAUUAAGUACAACGUUCACAUUAAGAUCUUUACUGAAGAGGUUUGUCCAAGUCCUGUGCCAAGCAGAGAAUAUUCUGCACUGCUCCAUGAAGGGAGAUUUAGCUCAUAAGCCUCUGCCAGAUUUAGCUCAUAAGCCUCUUCUGGUCCACCAUGAGGCACUUGAUCUUCUGCUCCUCUCUGCAACUGCAGGAAAUGCGAUACUUUUCUAUGAAUUGAUUUGCACUUGUUCGAUUCUCUGCAUCCCAGAGUCAUAUUGUGUGAAUCCCUGGAGCAGUGGGUGCCACUCUCCCUUCACUCUCAUCCUCACUGAAAGCUGUGAAACAUUCCUUGACCCCCCUUUCCCUGCAUGUCUCUGGGAAGGGACACUGAACCAUUCAGUGAAAUGGGCCAGUCGCACUGCUUGUGUUUUCUGGACUCAAGUUGUAUAAUGUGGUUCUUGCACAAAAUCCUGUGUUUAUAUACAGUAUUUGCACUUUCUGCACUCCCCUUGGGCUGAUCUGCUACCAAAGCACUGUAAGAAGAUGAGAAGCUGCAAGUAACUGGAGCAUGUGCACCUUUCCCCUCCCUGCCGGUGGUGUGCAAUGCCCAGGGUCAAGUUAAGCCUUGGGGGAGCUCUGAACCCAUGACAGGAGGUUUUGUCGAGAGCCAAGUCUGGCUCUUGUUGAUGCAUAUCAUGCUGACGUGUCACUGUUGUAUACUGUGCCCCUGCCUUCACCUCCGUAGGACGCUGUAAUGAGCCGUUGCUGGCCCAGCCAGUGUGAAAGUACAUGGUGCUGCUCUCCUGUGCCAUCCACAGCACCCUGGUCACAGCGCUCACUUUUCCUCCCACCCAAAAAACACUCUUUGGAUAUGCAAGCUACAUCGGUGAUAGCUGUCAGCGCUCUGGCCAGUGGGGUCCUAUGUGCCCCGCUCGCGCACAUCUUGGAGGAUGUCAGCCGGCUGCCAUGACCCCAUGUGCAUGUGUCCAAGCAUCCCAUGGUGCCGCAUGCACAUGCUGGUAUCAGGACGAUCCAUGUCCCCAGGCUGCUCCCAGGGCACCAGCUCUGUGCCAUAGCCUGCAACAGCUCCUUUGGGCAGCAGGAGUCCCUCAGUCCAGCUGUGGAAAUAGGCUCCUUCCGUCACAGCUCCCAGAUGGGGUCAUGUCGCUCAGCCUCCAAGAUGAGAGUUCGGGAGCAUGCAAUAACGCUUCUUUGAAACUGUCAGCAGAGGUUUUCUCCUCCACUCCUGAGGGGAGGAGGAGACUGCACUAGGCUCAUUUAACUGAGUGAUGUGCCAUUGGUAAUUCUCUGAGGAUGAAGUUAAUUUUUAGCUGUAAGUGUUUUGAUUCAGGAGGUCGGGGCAUCUUGUAAAUAGCCUAGGUCUUUCUGGGGCUUUUCAUCCACCCAGAUUGCAACAAUAUUUAUUACCAAUUCCUUUCACAACAAAACUAGUGGGAGCUUUCUAGCUCUGUUUGAGCCAGAGGGCAAGUCAGGAGUCCCUCCAUUCAGCCAAAAGCAGAGAUCUUGAUGCAAGUGCCCUGAACUGGAGAGUCUCGCCCAGCAGGGAAAUGAAAUGAGCGGGAUGACUCUUGUGCUGAAAGUUACACUUGCUCAAGUGAGCACAGGUGCAGCCUGAAACAGGUACAUCCCAGGCGUUUUUGUGCCUUGGUGAAUUGGGUCUGUGGAAGGGAAAUACCGCAGGGCUGCACUGCAUGGUGACAGAUACUGUCCCCAGCUGCAUCGAUCAUCUCUCCUGCCCUCCAGCACAAUAUAGCCAUCGUCUUCAAGUGUCAGCUUGGAUACCUGCUUCCUAUCAUUGCUGGCAGCUAGGACUGCAAUGCAAACGGACCCCAGCCGGAAUAACAGGGUAGCAAUAAAAACCUUUGUACUAGAGAUCAGAGGCUCAGUGAGGCUGGGGACAGGCUAAACCGUCCCUGUGCAACAAGGUUGACUGCUGAACAGGUUUAUG
Struthio camelus australis is the source of this 3082-nucleotide long non-coding RNA. RefSeq lists it as uncharacterized. The record is from RefSeq and is a predicted model, not a curated record. NCBI's taxonomy places the organism in Eukaryota, Metazoa, Chordata, Aves, Struthioniformes, Struthionidae.